Molecule: long non-coding RNA, 162 nt
Organism: Photinus pyralis (common eastern firefly)
Lineage: Eukaryota; Metazoa; Arthropoda; Insecta; Coleoptera; Lampyridae
Exons: 2
Source: RefSeq, a predicted model, not a curated record
CGCCACUGCCUCAUACAUAACCUCACAUACUGAUACACACACACACUACACUUAAAACAUCGCUCACCCAUACAUUCAAUUUUAUAUAAAAAUAUGGACAUUACAUCAUACAUUUCCAUCUUGUUAAAAAAUGUAAUUCAGUAGACGGUAAGAUAGAUUUUG